Molecule: ribosomal RNA, 369 nt
Filed under: uncultured phototrophic eukaryote
Lineage: Eukaryota
Description: SSU rRNA
Rfam family: Bacterial small subunit ribosomal RNA
Source: RNAcentral
GACGGAGGAUGCAAGUGUUAUCCGGAAUUACUGGGCGUAAAGCGUCUGUAGGUGGUUUAGUAAGUCGAUUGUUAAAUCUUGGGGCUUAACUCCAAAACAGCAAUGGAAACUGCUAGACUUGAGUAUGGUAGAGGUAAAAGGAAUUUCCAGUGGAGCGGUGAAAUGCGUAGAUAUUGGAAAGAACACCGAUGGCGAAGGCAUUUUACUGGGCCAUAACUGACACUCAGAGACGAAAGCUAGGGUAGCAAAUGGGAUUAGAUACCCCAGUAGUCCUAGCUGUAAACGAUGGAUACUAGAUGUUGCACGUUCACCGCAGUGUCAUAGCUAACGCGUUAAGUAUCCCGCCUGGGAAGUAUGCGCGCAAGCGUG